Molecule: transfer RNA, 114 nt
Filed under: Nanobdellota archaeon
Lineage: Archaea; Nanobdellati; Nanobdellota
Description: tRNA-Gln
Source: RNAcentral
AGCCCCGUGGUGUAGCGGACUAGCAUAGUGCCCUUUGGAGGCAUUGACCUCGGUUCGAACGAGAAAAGCACACUUUUCUGGUGCCGCUUUUCAGCGACAAUCCGAGCGGGGCUA